This 426-nucleotide ribosomal RNA is filed under the name uncultured bacterium. RNAcentral describes it as "partial 16S ribosomal RNA". It matches the Rfam family "Bacterial small subunit ribosomal RNA", at positions 354 to 796 of the family's 1533-position model. The record is from RNAcentral.
GUGAGGAAUUUUCCGCAAUGGGCGAAAGCCUGACGGAGCAAUGCCGCGUGAAGGAUGAAGGCCUAUGGGUAGUAAACUUCUUUUCUCAGAAAAGAAUUAUGACGGUAUCUGAGGAAUAAGCAUCGGCUAACUCUGUGCCAGCAGCCGCGGUAAGACAGAGGAUGCAAGCGUUAUCCGGAAUGAUUGGGCGUAAAGCGUCUGUAGGUUGUUUAAAAAGUAUUCUGUCAAAGAUUAGGGCUUAACCCUAGAUAGGCAGAAUAAACUUUUAAGCUAGAGUUUGGUAGAGGCAGAGGGAAUUCCCGGUGGAGCGGUGAAAUGCGUAGAUAUCGGGAGGAACACCAAAGGCGAAGGCACUCUGCUGGGCCAAUACUAACACUGAGAGACGAAAGCGAGGGGAGCAAAUGGGAUUAGAUACCCUUGUAGUCC